Molecule: transfer RNA, 74 nt
Filed under: Corchorus olitorius
Lineage: Eukaryota; Viridiplantae; Streptophyta; Magnoliopsida; Malvales; Malvaceae
Rfam family: tRNA
About the family: Transfer RNA (tRNA) molecules are approximately 80 nucleotides in length. Their secondary structure includes four short double-helical elements and three loops (D, anti-codon, and T loops).
Source: Rfam by way of RNAcentral
GGGAUUGUAGUUCAAUUGGAAAGAGCACCGCCCUGUCAAGGCGGAAGCUGCGGGUUCGAGCCUCGUCAGUCCCG